GAGUUUGAUCCUGGCUCAGAACGAACGCUGGCGGCAGGCUUAACACAUGCAAGUCGAGCGCACAGUUUACUGUGAGCGGCAGACGGGUGAGUAACGCGUGGGAAUCUACCUUGAGCUACGGGAUAACAGAGAGAAAUUUCUGCUAAUACCGUAUGUGGCCUUUGGGCGAAAGAUUUAUCGGCUUAAGAUGAGCCCGCGUUGGAUUAGCUGGUUGGUGGGGUAAAGGCCUACCAAGGCGACGAUCCAUAGCUGGUCUGAGAGGAUGAUCAGCCACACUGGGACUGAGACACGGCCCAGACUCCUACGGGAGGCAGCAGUGGGGAAUAUUGGACAAUGGGCGCAAGCCUGAUCCAGCCAUGCCGCGUGAGUGAAGAAGGCCUUAGGGUUGUAAAGCUCUUUCACCGGUGAAGAUAAUGACGGUAGCCGGAGAAGAAGCCCCGGCUAACUUCGUGCCAGCAGCCGCGGUAAUACGAAGGGGGCUAGCGUUGUUCGGAUUUACUGGGCGUAAAGCGCGCGUAGGCGGAUAGAUAAGUCAGAGGUGAAAUCCCGGGGCUCAACCCCGGAAUUGCCUUUGAUACUGUUUAUCUUGAGUGCAGAAGAGGUAAGUGGAAUUCCGAGUGUAGAGGUGAAAUUCGUAGAUAUUCGGAGGAACACCAGUGGCGAAAGCGGCUUACUGGUCUGCAACUGACGCUGAGGCGCGAAAGCGUGGGGAGCAAACAGGAUUAGAUACC
RNAcentral lists this ribosomal RNA (731 nucleotides) under uncultured Hyphomicrobiales bacterium. RNAcentral describes it as "bacterial SSU rRNA". It matches the Rfam family "Bacterial small subunit ribosomal RNA", at positions 9 to 786 of the family's 1533-position model. Lineage: Bacteria; Pseudomonadati; Pseudomonadota; Alphaproteobacteria; Hyphomicrobiales. The record is from RNAcentral.